Molecule: long non-coding RNA, 1319 nt
Organism: Passer montanus (Eurasian tree sparrow)
Lineage: Eukaryota; Metazoa; Chordata; Aves; Passeriformes; Passeridae
Exons: 4
Source: RefSeq, a predicted model, not a curated record
GCGCAGCCGCGGAACCGCCUGCGACCCUCGCCCCACAGCGGGGCCGGGCCGGCCCGGGGUCCGCGGCCCGAUGGCUCGGUUUUCAGGGCUGGUUCAAAACGCCCCUCUGCAGGGAGAAAUAGGUGUGCCGUGUCCCUAGAGACGGUAACAGGGUUAGCUGAAAUUGUAAACACAUCAUGGAGUUACUUCUCCACUCCCAUAAACUUCUCUCAGUUUAUUUCCCAUGCAUGUCAUGGUGCAGUCCCUUUAUGAGCAGUGCAGAAUAACAGCAUAAGCCUCACUCCACAUCUCAGAAAAUUCUGCUUCCAUUCUUUCAGAACUCCAUAUGGAAAUGCCCAACUGUGAAACAAGCCCAGAGCCGCCCUGGUGCCCCAUCCACGUUCCCACUGAGGCCUGUGGUGACGCUGGAGACGUGGCAGAGCACGAGGCCACCAGUGCCAGCCCCGGGCUGUGGCUGGUGGCGCUGGGGCAGAGCAGCCUCUGCACAGCACCAGCCAGGGCAGGAGGAGGGCAGCAGCACCACAGACAUCAGGGAGGCUCCGCUUUGCCACCUCAGGAGUUUGUGGCCAGCAGCCCUGAGGGGCAGGAGGAGAGGCUUGGCCAAGCUUUUCUUUCCAAAUUUCUAGUUUCCAUUCACGGCUGAGAUACACAAGGUUCAAUCUCACUGCAGGAGAAGUGCCAGUGCUCUUGGCCUUUACACUCUUGGGCUGACCAUGCUCACGCUCCUUACGUGUCUUCUCAUAAACAUACACUUUGCAUAUUCCAGUCUGAGGUGUCUUUCUUGAACUCAUAAGUUAAAAAGCCCCAGACAACAGAACAGUAUUUUCUAGAUGUGACUUAUGUGACCAGCACAAGAAUAUUAUCUUUACUUAAGCAUAUGCAGUUAGGGACUUGUUUGGCUUUAAUAAAAUGUAGGUAUGGCUUAAAGUUAUCUUGGGGUGACCUGAAACUGGUCUGUCAUUUCAGACAACUGACCUUCUACUAAUUCUUGGUGUCUGGCUGGCACUCUCUAAGAGUCUCUAUUGGAAUUUAUGCUUCUACUUUGCAUCUUGCUCUUACUGUUCCCUUAAAAAUCAAAAGACAGUUCCCACUUGCUAUUCUAAAUUAGUGAUUCACAUGUGGACUCCUGGAGACUUCUGUUCUAUGGCAAGUACAGAACAAACUCCAAAUAAUUUCUGUUAUUGCAACACAUUUGUGCUAUUUGUGCUAUUUCUGCAGAUACUGGUAAAGUAAAAUGGCACCAACUCGACAAUACUACAGAAGUAAAAAUUGAAAAAGUAAAACAAUUACCCAGUGCAGAAAGGAAAAAAACGAAAGAA